UGAACACCUGCCUUCCCUCUACAAGGAAGGAAGCCUGAUGACAUUAUGGAGAACAGCUCUGAAGCAGAUUCACUUACAUUUCACACAUCAAUGAGCUGCAGAUGCAGCUGGGAUGCUGUGCAGCUGCUGGUUGUUCCAGCCACCAACCUUCCCAAUCUCUCAUUUCCUCUGCCAUAAAGAGAGGAAAAAAGUAGAUCUUCACAUAUGCAGAGUUUUCAGAGCUUGCUCCUGCCUGUGCAGUUGUGCCAAAUGCAGGGCCCUUUCCACACACAAGAAUAGGAAGAGUAAUGCGGAGAGCAAACUGCUUGAAAAUAUAAUGGGUUCAGCUUAAAAAUAAAGGAUCUACUGCAAGAGCCAAAAUAUACCCAAAGGUUUCUGCUGUUUGAACCAACAUUAUCUACUUCUCCCAGAACUGCAGCCUCUGGAGAAAUUUUGGCAAGGAUCUUGUGACAAUGCACCAACCAGGGAACAAAAUGAACUGCCUGGAUGGGCACUAGGCCUGCAUGUAAAUAACUUCUCCUGCAGUGUAUGCAGAUUCUUGAAACAUCCACAAGUUCAGGGGAACUGACCUGCUUCUUACAUUUGGAGUUGGUGGUUUCAGGGAGAACAAACGCUGUGGCAGAAAACCUAUGAGUAAAAAGGCAAGAAAGGAAAUGGAAACUAAAGAUGCAAAUGGCAAGAAAAGAUAAAAAUAUCACGCCUGCAAAAAAAUGGCUGAAGAUGCAGACAGAUAACCCAAAGCAAAAACAUCCACUCUCUAAAUCCAAAGGUCAUCUCUAACCACAAAAGUUGAGGGGGAAAAAAACAAGUCAUCACAGAAGUGCAGCUGACACCCCUGGUCUAACGAACAAGUGACAAACAUGCAGCUGCUACUAUAAAAGAUGAGUAAGAGAGAAAAGACUUUGCGGGGGGACAACUUCUGCACAACAAUGAGGCAUCAGUACAUGUCCAACAGACCCUCAGCCUCCUUUUCUUUGUGCUCAGCUUGGUUGGCCACCAAGCUGACUUGAACACCUAAGGACUGGUAACAUCAGAAUGGGGUGUGUGUGUGUGUGUGUGUGUGUGUGUGUGUGUGUGUGUGUGUGUGUAUGGUAAUGUGUGUCUGCAAGUGUAGCGAUUUAAGCAAUAAGGAUAUAAUGGUCUAAUAUUUUUGUGUUCAAUAAACAUGGCUUAUUGCCUUUGC
Long non-coding RNA from Alligator sinensis (Chinese alligator), 1183 nucleotides. RefSeq lists it as uncharacterized. Lineage: Eukaryota; Metazoa; Chordata; Crocodylia; Alligatoridae. The record is from RefSeq and is a predicted model, not a curated record. The transcript has 4 exons.